This 562-nucleotide ribosomal RNA is filed under the name Nesiarchus nasutus (black gemfish). RNAcentral's name for it is "partial 16S ribosomal RNA". It matches the Rfam family "Bacterial large subunit ribosomal RNA", at positions 1845 to 2596 of the family's 2925-position model. Lineage: Eukaryota; Metazoa; Chordata; Actinopteri; Scombriformes; Gempylidae. The record is from RNAcentral.
AUAACAGGUCUAGCCUGCCCAGUGACUAUAAGUUCAACGGCCGCGGUAUUUUAACCGUGCCAAGGUAGCGCAAUCACUUGUCUCUUAAAUAGGGACCUGUAUGAAUGGACGAACGAGGGCUUAACUGUCUCCUUUCUCAGGUCAAUGAAAUUGAUCUCCCCGUGCAGAAGCGGGGAUGCCACCAUAAGACGAGAAGACCCUAUGGAGCUUUCAGACACCAAAGCAUAUUAUGUCAAGGCCCCUGAACAAAGGACUGAACUUAAGUAAAUUAUGCUCCUAUGUCUUAGGUUGGGGCGACCCCGAGGAAACAAAUAACCCCCCUUGUGUGGAAUGGGAGCACUCCUUUUUUCCUAAAACCGAGAGCUGCAGCUCUAAGUAACAGAUAUUUCUGACCAGACCGAUCCGGCAAAGCCGAUCAACGGACCAAGUUACCCUAGGGAUAACAGCGCAAUCCCCUUUUAGAGCCCAUAUCGACAAGGGGGUUUACGACCUCGAUGUUGGAUCAGGACAACCUGGUGGCGCAACCGCUAUUGAAGGUUCGUUUGUUCAACGAUUAAAGUCC